GGGGAGAUACCAAAGUGGCCAACUGGGGCAGACUGUAAAUCUGCUGACUUAUGUCUUCGUAGGUUCGAAUCCUGCUCUCCCCACCA
RNAcentral lists this transfer RNA (86 nucleotides) under Bacteroidota bacterium. RNAcentral describes it as "tRNA-Tyr". It matches the Rfam family "tRNA". Rfam says of the family: Transfer RNA (tRNA) molecules are approximately 80 nucleotides in length. Their secondary structure includes four short double-helical elements and three loops (D, anti-codon, and T loops). The record is from RNAcentral. RNAcentral also lists the same sequence under 1 other name. Lineage: Bacteria; Pseudomonadati; Bacteroidota.